AUACGGAAGGUCCGGGCGUUAUCCGGAUUUAUUGGGUUUAAAGGGAGCGCAGGCGGAGAUGCAAGCGUGACGUCAAAUUUCGGGGCUCAACCCCGUCUCGCGUCGCGAACUGCGUCCCUUGGUUGCGGGAAGGGGAGGCGGAACUCGUGGUGUAGCGGUGAAAUGCAUAGAUAUCACGAAGAACUCCGAUCGCGAAGGCAGCCUUCCGGCCCGUCAACGACGCUCAUGCUCGAAGGUGCGGGUAUCAAACAGGAUUAGACACCCUGGUAGUCCGCACAGUAAACGAUGGACACCCGCGGUUUGGCCUAUAUGGCUGAGCCGCCAAGCGUAAGCGUUAAGUGUCCCACCUGGGGAGUACGCCGGCAACGGUGAAACUCAAAUGAAUUGACGGGG
This 393-nucleotide ribosomal RNA is filed under the name uncultured bacterium. RNAcentral's name for it is "partial 16S ribosomal RNA". It matches the Rfam family "Bacterial small subunit ribosomal RNA", at positions 523 to 918 of the family's 1533-position model. The record is from RNAcentral.